Molecule: long non-coding RNA, 657 nt
Organism: Grus americana (Whooping crane)
Lineage: Eukaryota; Metazoa; Chordata; Aves; Gruiformes; Gruidae
Exons: 3
Source: RefSeq, a predicted model, not a curated record
CGCGGCAGCCGACUAUCACGUGAUCUGCUCCGAUCACGUGACGGGGCCCUGGCCGGUGUCUCGGUUCCCAUGGAGACGACGCCGCCCCCGGCGGCCUGGUCUUCCCGCGAGCCGGCAUGUGCCGCGCCCUCCUCACUCCGCGGGGUAACGUCCUCUGAUGUCACCUGACCUCAUCAGUGACGUCAGACAAGGAGAGAGACAGAUGACGGUAAGAUCCCCCCAGCCCCGGGGUCACGCCCUGGGGGCUCCGAUGGGGCAGGUGUCACUCCCGGGCCGGCCCAGCACCCCAGGAACCUGCCGUCCCCUCCCCGGUACCCACGCAAGGGGAAGCCCUGGCUGCACAACGUGGUGGCUGGUCACGACCUCAGAAGAAAGGAUGAUCAAUGAUGCAGGGCAUAAGGCCGUGGUGGACAAAUCUGCCUAGCAACGUGUCUGCCUGGUUCCCCAUCUCUGUCCUUGCCGGGAUUACACGAUAAGAAUCAGAAACUGCGUGAAACACAGCCUCCCCUUUCUGCCACAGCUUUUUGAUCCUUUCGCUUAUGGGUUUGGCAACCGCAACUUUCUUCAUCCUUGAAGAUUAUUCUUCAAUUCCUCAAAGAGACUUCAAUUUUCUCACAAAUCUCUCUUCCUUUCACUUAAUUUAAACAUUUUUUGGCC